RNAcentral lists this long non-coding RNA (348 nucleotides) under Capsicum annuum. RNAcentral describes it as "long non-coding RNA (CANN_LNC011692)". Lineage: Eukaryota; Viridiplantae; Streptophyta; Magnoliopsida; Solanales; Solanaceae. The record is from RNAcentral.
GCAACGGUACUGGCAGCUCUGGUAGUGGUAGUUUGGGAAGUCCUGGCAAAGGUACUGGCAACUCCGGUAUGGGCAAAGUUGGCAGCUGAGAUUUUGGAAGUUCUGGCAGUUUAGGAAGAUCGGGCAUAGGUAAUGUGGGCAAUCCAGGCUGUGGCAAUGUUGGUAGCUCGGGUUUUGGGAGGCCAAUGGGAAGAUCAGGCUUCGGCACAUCUGGCAAACUUACUUCCAAAAGACGGCGAGCCUCCGCUUGAAUUGCAUGGCUGCUGAUUGAUGAUAAGACAAAGAGGAAGAGAAGGUAAAGGGAGUGAUGAGCCAUAGUUAUAGCAGAUGAUUUAUACAGUUCCAAGU